Long non-coding RNA from Poecilia latipinna (sailfin molly), 376 nucleotides. RefSeq lists it as uncharacterized. NCBI's taxonomy places the organism in Eukaryota, Metazoa, Chordata, Actinopteri, Cyprinodontiformes, Poeciliidae. The record is from RefSeq and is a predicted model, not a curated record. The transcript has 2 exons.
AAACACACGCUCCUAGACACAACCCACUCCGCACACACAUGCACACACACUUGCAGACAGAAACACACCUUCACAACCUCAGCACACCGGCCUGACCCGCUGCAGACGCGGAAACCUCCACACACGCUUAGCAGUCAGCGGUGCACUUGCUAUGACAACACAGAUGAUUGAAACCUGAGCUGGACGUCUGGCUGCGUGAGGAAAAACUAUCCCUGCAGGAGGUUCAGAAUCCGAAGUUGCCGGAUCCCAUCUGUGCCAACACAGAGAAGGGAUUUACGGUUUACACUGUGCUGGCUGACGUCCAGCUUCUUCCCCCGGAGCUGCUUGGAAGCUACAGCAAAAUAAUAAAAGAAACGUCUCUGUUUACUCAUCACAA